AUGAUAUUGUGCCUGCACGUGAUCCAGUAUAGAGCUGCAUCUUCAAGUUGUACAAAGAUCAUCACAACUUUCUCCAUCCAUUUAUUGGGAGAGGAGGAGGGGCUUCCAAAUCAAGAAAAUGCAAACAAAUGUCUAAAGCCACUGUUGGCAAAAGUGUUUAGAAGUGGACAAAGUCACGUGAGUGCACAGGUGCGUGCAAAGGCUCAAAAAUGUGUGAUCUCUACCAGUCAGACCUGAGACACGUUCAACAGUCAAUCACAGGAAGUAAUUAAUAAGUCAUAACAUCACUGAUAAAGUAGAUUGGCAGCGAGGUAAAUCUGUGCUCAAAAGCACUGAGGUUAAUGACACGUUGUUAAAAAAAGAAAAAAACCAGAUGCGAGAUUCAAUCACCAUCUUCUUACUGAUAACACUGAUGCUGGAGAAGGGGGCUUGUAUCUAUGAACAGAAAACUUCCUGGUAUUGGAGCUGAAAUUAACCCCUUUCCCAACAGCAGUGGCAGGGCUAUCCUCUGCAUGCAGAGGAGGAAGAUUUUAUGUGUUCUAUCUGGGACAGCUCACUCUCCAAAGGGAAGGAAAAUGAAAAGUCUAUGCUACUGAUGCUCAUUUUUAUCCUUCCAAACUCAUGGGUGUGAUAAAGGAGGUAGUGGAGAAAGUGCUACCUAAUGAAUGUGCUUCAUAUGGAAGGAAAUAUCAGGAGUGAUUCCCAAUUAAUCCUGGGGAGCAGCCACCCCUUUGGGGGAAAUUAUCAGUUGUCUGUCACUAUCAUCCCCUGCUCACCCAUCAUGAGCUUCCCAAUACCAAUGCCUUGCCCUGUGAAUAGCAUCGUGGAACCACUGGUGGGACUUUUUGAUUUUGCUUUCAGAGGCUCAUAAAUGUAUCCGAACAUUAAGUAAAGCCAAAGUCACUUUAUACCCAGUUAUAAAAGUUGACUACCUAAUCUUUCUUCCAUUACAAAUCCUGAGCAGCCUCAUUGUCCAACAUCACCUGUUACACAGUCACAAUGACAGCAAACGACAACAUUAACAUAGACCAACAAAAAUGUUCAACAUAGAAAUAUGAAUAUAAAUUCCCUCUCAUUAACAGUUCUCAAAACCAAUGGAGGUCCAUAAACUGAGCCCUGCUUACAAAGUGAAUCUAAAGCCAUAACAGUGAAAAAAGAAGCCCAGAAUCAAUUUUCCUUGCCUUUCAGUGUUAAAGUACAAAGACAUUAGUGCUCACAAUUUACCCUUUCCAAUUCC
This 1237-nucleotide long non-coding RNA is filed under the name Sus scrofa (pig). RNAcentral describes it as "lncRNA (ENSSSCG00070014397.1)". Lineage: Eukaryota; Metazoa; Chordata; Mammalia; Artiodactyla; Suidae. The record is from RNAcentral.